CCUACGGGGGGCUGCAGUGGGGAAUAUUGGACAAUGGGGGGAACCCUGAUCCAGCCAUGCCGCGUGUGUGAAGAAGGCCCUCGGGUUGUAAAGCACUUUCAGUGAGGAAGAACGCCUGGUGGUUAAUACCCAUCAGGAAAGACAUCACUCACAGAAGAAGCACCGGCUAACUCCGUGCCAGCAGCCGCGGUAAUACGGAGGGUGCGAGCGUUAAUCGGAAUUACUGGGCGUAAAGCGCACGUAGGUGGCUUGAUAAGCCGGUUGUGAAAGCCCCGGGCUCAACCUGGGAACGGCAUCCGGAACUGUCAAGCUAGAGUGCAGGAGAGGAAGGUAGAAUUCCCGGUGUAGCGGUGAAAUGCGUAGAGAUCGGGAGGAAUACCAGUGGCGAAGGCGGCCUUCUGGACUGACACUGACACUGAGGUGCGAAAGCGUGGGUAGCAAACAGGAUUAGAUACCCGUGUAGUC
This 465-nucleotide ribosomal RNA is filed under the name Vreelandella stevensii. RNAcentral's name for it is "partial 16S ribosomal RNA". It matches the Rfam family "Bacterial small subunit ribosomal RNA", at positions 338 to 795 of the family's 1533-position model. Lineage: Bacteria; Pseudomonadati; Pseudomonadota; Gammaproteobacteria; Oceanospirillales; Halomonadaceae. The record is from RNAcentral.